RNAcentral lists this ribosomal RNA (200 nucleotides) under Phacidium lacerum. RNAcentral's name for it is "5.8S ribosomal RNA". The stretch from base 1 to 154 matches the Rfam family "5.8S ribosomal RNA". Rfam says of the family: 5.8S ribosomal RNA (5.8S rRNA) is a component of the large subunit of the eukaryotic ribosome. It is transcribed by RNA polymerase I as part of the 45S precursor that also contains 18S and 28S rRNA. The record is from RNAcentral. Lineage: Eukaryota; Fungi; Ascomycota; Leotiomycetes; Phacidiales; Phacidiaceae.
AACUUUCAACAACGGAUCUCUUGGUUCUGGCAUCGAUGAAGAACGCAGCGAAAUGCGAUAAGUAAUGUGAAUUGCAGAAUUCAGUGAAUCAUCGAAUCUUUGAACGCACAUUGCGCCCCCUGGUAUUCCGGGGGGCAUGCCUGUUCGAGCGUCAUUACAACCCUCAAGCUCUGCUUGGUAUUGGGUGUCACCCCCGGGUG